Molecule: long non-coding RNA, 30409 nt
Filed under: Capsicum annuum
Lineage: Eukaryota; Viridiplantae; Streptophyta; Magnoliopsida; Solanales; Solanaceae
Description: long non-coding RNA (CANN_LNC007775)
Source: RNAcentral
AAAAUUAAAGACCUAUCUUCUAGACAGCUGUCCAAAAAUAUCUAAACAAAAGGGCAAAAAAAUUAAAAGAAUGAUGUAAAUGAAAAUGAAUCAUCUUUUUCAUCUUUGUUGUAAUCUUCACUCCAGUUCUGGAAAAGGUGUUGUAAGUAGCUUCCUUGUUGGUAGUCAAGCUCAGAUCGAUAAAUGCAUGAUGAACUUUGGGCAUUUUCAUCUAAGGUGUUAAAAAUCUCACUGACACCAUGAAAUUGUUUCGAUCGAAGACUUCUUCAACUCAUAUAGCUUCCAAUCCGAACUUAUUACAACAAGAUAAGUUUUCUUACUUUUACCUCUAAUUUAUUUCUCAGUUAACAUCAAUUUUAUCUCCCCGAUAGAUUGAGCUUAACUAGAAGCUGAUACCACUGCCUAAGAAGAUACCAUUUAAUGAUUAUUUGACCUUAACCAGAAACUUGAGCUCCAUAUGUGUUAUUGAGGUAAUUUUGCUUUUACUUGACACUACCAUUGUCAAUGAUAGUUGUUGUUUGUUGAUUGUAUCUAAACAUAUCUACAUCUUGUACUGUUAACUUUGUUAUUUGAAGAUUAUUAACUUUUCUUGUACCUUUUGAAAGACCAAAAACCCUUAGUUUGUGCACUGCAUGUUUGAUUGUUGAGUGUUCUGCAUGCUAUGUCGUAGCAUUGUUUUUGUUUAGACAAGACCAAAAUCCACAUUUUGUAUCUUUUUAAUUCUUAAACUUGGAAGUUGUUCCUUGUCCAUGUUGGACUUUCUGAUAAUUCAAAAAGGAGUAAUUUUCAUUACCUGCAAAAGAGAAGACAUAGUUAGCUAAAAAAUCAGCAAGUUGAUUCCCUCCCCUGUAAAUGUGUUGGACCGUGACCACCACCUCUCUUUAUUUUAUUAGAUUUUGAAUUCUUCUUAUUUCAUUAGAAAUACCCCAUGGAAUCUCCUACUGAUUUGUACCAAAUUUCUGAACAGCCAAAGAAUUAGUUUCCAAGCAAAUAGGCAUUGGAUUAUGCUCAAUACAAUAUUCCAAUCCCAACAUUAAAGACACAAAUUCAGCCACUAAAUUGAUUCCAUCAGGAAUUCUUCUAGUUUUAGCAUGAAUUAACUCUCUAAUGUGAUUCCUAACAUAAAAAGCUGCUGAACUUGGUCCAGGAUUGCCCUUCACAGCAGCAUCAGAAUUACAUUUGUACUGGUUUCUUUUAGGAAAAUUCCACUUCACCACAACAGUUUUCAAGGUUGACCUGUACUCUGAUAAAAAUCUCACUAAAUCCACCCAAGAAUCUAGUAUAUUUUUAAGCCAAGGAUAUAGACAUUUAGCUAAAUAUAUCAGAUUUCUAGUUAUUUCAAACUUCAUACUCCAAAGAGAUCUUUUACUACCAUGUCUAAGAUAGUUUUUGCUUUUCCAAAUUUGCCACAGUAUAAACAUUGGUACAACUCUAAAAAUAGGCUUCAGUUAAGGUAUAUUAGAUACAUUCCACCACUUUAGCACAUUGUCUUUAAUUUGUAAAAAUGGACCAGUCACUCCUGCUAUAGAAGCAAAAUAAUUUCAUCGAGCUUUUGAGUAAUCACACUGUAAAAGCAAGUGUUCAAUAGUUUCCUGAACAUCUCUUUCACAACAGUAGCAAAUCACAUUAUCAGCAAUUCUGUUUCUAAUUAAAAACUCUCCUAUUGGGAUCCUCUUAUGCCACAAUCUCCACAAAAAGAAAGAUCGCUUAAAAGGUAUACCUUUCAACCAUAUAUAUCUGAAUUUUUUAUUUUUGACCUCUUUGCUUCUUAUAAUUUCUCAAGCUAACUUCACAAAAAACGUACCAGAGGUUUUCAACAUCCACCAUGCUUUAUCCCACAUUUUUGUUUGAGAUACACUCUGAAUAUUUUCAAUUACAAAACCACAAACUUCCUCACCAAACUUCUGCAACAUAUCUAUCUUUCACCCCUUAGUUGUACAUAACUGAUUGACCUCAUCAAUUUGGUAAUCCUUAUGCAUAUCAAGUGGCAAGUAAUAAUGAAGUGCUCCUAAUUGUGACCAGUUAUCAAACCACGCACUAGAAUGAUCUACUUUAGGUUCUCACCAUGUUUCUUGAUCAAAAGUGUCUCUAGCCUCCAACAUAUAUUUCCAAACCAAUGAUUCACUUUUCCAGUCAACCAAUUGUGGUCUAACUUUUUUGAAAUACUUGUUCCACAUGAAGUUAGACCAUAAAGUCUUUUGUGUCCUGAAAGUCCACUACAGCUUUGCAAAUAAAGCUUUUGACACAUUAAAAAGGGAUCUAAGUCCCAAUCCUCCCUCAUCUUUAGGUCUGCAAAUAUCUGUCCAUUAUAUCCAAUGCAUGUUUCUGCCAAUUUCCUUAAAAUCCCACAGAAAUUUUGCAAAAAGUUUAUGCAAAUCAUGCAAUACACAUUUAGGUGGAAUAGUGGUAGAAAGUAGAUAUAUUGGCAUGCUAUUAAGAAAAUUUUGUAUCAAAACAGCUUUACCACCAAAAGAGAGCAUCUUCCCUUUCCAUACUUGAAGUUUAUUCUGCACUUUCUUCAACAACUCAACAAAAUGAGACUUCUUUUUAGCAUGCCCAAUUGGACAAUCCAAAUAAAUUAGUGAGAAAGAACUUUUAGCAAAUCCAGUGAUUUCCUCCACUAAUCUAAUAUCAGAAUGGGAAGUCUCAUGAUAAACAAAUAAAAAACUUUUCCUUUGUUAAUUAAUUAACCUGAUUGCCUUUCAUAAUCUUUGAGAACCCUCAUGACCAUCUGUAAUGAAAUUUUAUCAAUAGAAGUGAAAAUAAUUGUAUCAUCUGCAUAUGCAAGAUGAUUCAUAUUUUCACUCCACUUUGGCAUUCCAUACCCUCAGUAUCUAGGAUCAUCAAAUAGGGAAGUCAAUGAUCUAGAUAAAACCUCAGCUGCCAUAAUAAAUAAUGCAGGAGAAAGAGGAUCCCCCUGCUUAACUCCUCUGGUUGAAUGAAAAAAUCCAUGAGCCUGGCCAUUUAUCAGAACUGAAUACCAGUUAUUAGCAAUAAGUCUCCAAUUUUUGUCAACAACAUUUGAAUCAAAACCUAUCUUUUCCAGUACCUUAAUCAGAAAUUUCCACCCCACUCUAUCAUAUGUCUUGGCCAUAUCAAAUUUAAUCACCACAUUAGAAGGUUUGCCUCUUAGCCUAAUAUCAGGAAUAAUUUCCCGAUAAUAGUACUUUUCUCAUGUAAUUUUCAAAUAUGUAAAUUUUAUUUUUAAAAAUUUAAAACUUUUAUGUCUGAAUUCACGAUCAAAAUUAAACUAUUUAACUCUUGAAAUCCAAAAUAUACCACUUAAUAGUCAAAAUUAAGAAUAGUAUUGCAACAUUACAAAGUCUUCCCAUAAACUCUUUUUCCAGUCGGACUACAUCACAUAAAAUUGUGAUGGAGGUAAUAUUUUUAUACUAUAUAUUAGGGAAGAAGUUGAACUUUGGUCGUCCUCACAGCAUGCCAAGUAGCUAACGUGGCUAAUAGUUAGUGGGUUCUCUUUAUCUAUUUUGAUUUUAUAUGCACAUUCAUUCCUUUUCUUUUAGGUCCAUUCCAUGUGGACUUAUCUAAUUGGAUAUUAAUAUUAUAGUAACUUUUGUGUGCAUAUUUUGUUUUUUCACUUCCUCCUUCAAUUAUAUUUUAUUCUGUGUCUUAAUUUAUAUAAUGUAGUAUGAUUUGACACGAAGUUUAACAAACUAAAGAAAGAUGUUUGAAGUUUACGAUCUAAAUAAGACAGAUAUUUCAAUGACUAUAACCUUUUAGUAGUCCUCACAAACUUUUUAAUGCAAUUAAAUAGCUACAUGUUUACUUAUUUUCCAUACAUGUUACAUUUGUCCCCAUAUAUCAUUUUAUGAUAUUUUUAUUUGGGACUUUGUAAUUUUUUUUAGUACUCUUUUUUUUUUUAUAAAUCUCUUCUUGUUCCUUAUUAGAUUACUUGUUCCUUUUUACUUAUUUUGUAUGUUAAAAAUUAAUUACUUUUCUUUCUUGUUUAUUUUAGUAAAUCACGAAAGAUUUACAACUAUUUUCACAUUAUUAUUAUUAUUAUUAUUAUUAUUAUUAUUAUCAAGUAAUUAAGUAACUGACUGAACUGAUAGUACUCUAAGAUAUCAGAACCAUUCUGAAAAUACUGAGACUAAGUAAACAACUAAGUUUUUGGGUAUUCAUAACCCCCAAGACUCGAUAGCAAUAAUAACAGGGACAUACUAAAGCUUCAAAACCAUAAUGAGAAAGCAUUAUUUAAAGAAAACCAUCACUUGGGCAAUUCAUCAAACACACGGGGAUCGUGAACUUAAACAUAGGAAUAUCUUAAACAUGGGAGCAUAGCAUGAUUACAUAACUAAAAUCAUGAAAUGGGAAAUUUACAUGUAAUUUGCUUGAAAUAGGCCAUGGGCGUUUCAUCAAAACAUGUAAAGAUCAUGGCUUGAACAUAAGAAUGUCUUAACAUGAGGGAACAAUAGAGUUACAAGACAAAAUUCAUAACUUGGGUAUUCAUAUUGAAAUUAAUUGAACAUGAUAUGGGAAUUUCGUCAAACAUGUGGAAAGCAAUAAUUUAAAACAUGGUAAUGUUGCUAAAAAUCAUGAAUUUAGGAUCUAUCAUGGAAUUCACUUGAAUAAAGAAUGGGAACUCAAAUUCAUGGCAUGAGGAAAUCAAAAUCUUGCAUGGAAUCACACAUGGGCUGAAUUGAAUUAAAAACACCAUGAAAUCAUGAAAUUAAAUCUUUCUUGAACAUACCGAAUUCCAUAAUAAGAAUAAAAAUCCAUUCUUUAGUUGAAGAGAGGGGUUUUGGGCUCUAUGGGUGAAAGAGAACCCAUGGAUGAACUCCCACACACCUUAAAACUUUAAAUCUUGAAGAAGAAAUAAAAUCUUGAAAGCUUUCUUGAAUUGGGAAACUUUGGUUCUUGAUUAUUCUUGAAGAGGAGGAUUGAAUUUGAUGUUCUUGGGAUUAGGUUAUGGUUUCUUGGAGAGAAAAGUGAAGGAGAAUGGGCAAAUAAUGCUUAAACUGACAUCUUAAAUCGUAUUUUUACGACCUGGUUUGAGGUGAUAAAAGACCCAAUUGCCCCUCACUCAUUUAAACCAAAAAUUCAUAAUCCGAAUUGCAUUUUAAAGGCUCACCGCGACGCAUUAUAAUCGCGGUGGCUUACUGGUCUUGAUGAAAAUGACCAUAACUUUCUGCUCGAGUAUCAGAUUAAGGAGAAAUUGGAAUCAUUGGAAAGCUGACUCAAUUAUCUACAAUUUGGUGGGGCUUUAGCUAAAAAAUUUAACAUAUAUAAAAAGUUAUACACUUUCAAAGUUUACCCUUGUAAAAUCGAACACCAAACUUUGGAUGAAUCUAAGGUUCUUAGUUCAACUUGGCUCUAAGUAAUUUCUAUGAACAUUCUUCACCUAAUAAGCACUUCACACGCUAAGAUAAAGAUCAUGACACUUGCAUUUGAAUUAUUAAUCAUGAACAUGACAAAUAUACCUUCACUGCGAUGUGAUGAGUGUCUCAUCUCUGUCCCUGGCGCGACGCGGUGGAAUUUUGUUAAGCUACUAGAAUUGAAAUCGAAACGUGACCUAAUCCUCAUUCAAAAAAUCCAAAACUUACUCGAGACAUGCUCCUUACAUCCUUGAACAUGAAUCAAAUAAAAAACCAUUAUCUUGGAGUUUGGAAGGUCAACUUAAAACUCCUCGAAGUUAGAAGGUUUUAAAAAUGGCUAAGUCCUCAACACAUAGCUAAAUUUUUAGGCUUUUAGCCUCUUAUGCAAGCAUUAGGAGCUGAACUAAACUAAAAAAAUUAUAGGGUAUUACAAUAUCUCUCCCUUGGAAACAUUCGUCCUCGAAUGAGACUAGUUAGACUGAGAGUAUUGUACUAAAGUAAUUGAGGUCAUAUACUGAAUAUGCAUGACUUGGAAACAUGAUUGCAUAACUGAGUCAGAGCAUAAUACAUAAAUUGAAUUGAUUUCAUGAAUAAAUGCAUUGACAAGACAAUGGUUAUAAGGCUAAGAUAGAAAAGAAAGAGUCAACAUAUGAGUAUCUAUUGCCUUAGGCAAGAUCUAGUUUCGUGAAGAAAAGAUGAGAGGUUUAGGACAUGAAAACUCAGGGUAAUACAAUACAUCUCUACCUUGGGAUAUUUCGUCUCCUGAAUGAUACUACUUGGUUGAAAUACUAAGGAAAGACUGAGAUGAUGCACGGGAAACUUAUGGACUGAAUCAUGACUGAAUAUCUGGAAUAUGAAACUGAUGCAUGAACUGAGCUGAAUUCACAAAUUACAUGGAUGCGAAUAAAUUAUUUCUUGGAAUAGCCAUAUUCAUGAGAUUUCGAAUAGUAUGACUAGAUGGAAGGAUGGAAAGCCAUUGGAACGUGUCUGAAUGACUGCUAAACUGGAUUGCUGGCUAUACGGACUAAAUUAUACUGAAAGCCUAAACUCAACUAUACAUUCCACUUCAAAACUGUACUUCACUUGAGGUUACUUAAAAUGUUCACAUGGGCACUGAUAACUCUACCUACUGAAGUCUGAGCUGAACUGAAUUUUCUCACCAUGUUCAAGCCUACUCAAAUAUACAAAGUGAACCCAUAACACUGUAAUACUAAUCUGAAUCAUGAAUUUAAUACCCCCUGCGCUUCUACAACUUCUCAUCACCACUAUCUCGACAUAAGGAAAGGUCACUGAAAGGUUAGAAUAUGGGGACCUAAAACAUAAAAGAAUACAAUGCAUAAUAUGACACUUAACUGAGGCCUAAGAAAUAGAGUAUCAAUAUAAUGGAUUCACCAAAGAGGUCUAAACUGAGGACAUUCAUGACAUAAACUGAAUUUCGCUGAUCACUAGGAGUGUAGCAUGAGUAUUGGAACCGAACAUACUGCAAAGCAUGAGUACAUGAGUCAUGAGUUGCAUGACCUGAGUUUGGAGUUCAUAAAUUCAUGGAGCAUGAUUCGUACUGCUGAAUAAACUGGAACUCCUCAUACUAGGAACUGGGAGAGUACAUGAUUCUCAAUUAUGUGUAUGAACAUGAACUAUAAUCAUAGAGCUGACAUGUAAGGCAUGAGUAGAUAUCGUGAUGAUUGAAAUACAAUACUAAAAUAAGAAUGGGUUGGGAAUCAACCCCCCUUUACUGAUGUUCUACAAUAUUUUAGCAUCAUUACUAGAAUCUAAAAGCCUGACUUGGGUAUUUGUUCUAUCAUCUCCCCCUUAGCUUUAAGCCAUCACUCUAAGUCUGUGAAACACUUUACUAAACUCUAAACUGAACUACAAUCACUUUACUCUAGAGUCUAGGGUAUAAUAAUACACAUGAAUGAUAAACUCAUCCUGAAAGACUACACCUAAAAGUAUAAAUGCCACUGCUAAUAUUAUCUUCUGGGAUACAACUUUUAACUUUCUAUAGCCCCAAUAGUCACCAUACAAUUACUUAAAACACUUACUAAUUUAGAAUCUUUAAGAGUUUCAUUAUACCAACAUACCUAACAUCAUCAACCUAUAUCUCGUAACUUCGCUGGUAAGAACAUCACAUACUACAUAACCUCAUUUGCUAUUUAACAACUCAAGGGUACUAUCUAAGCACACACAUUUUAAAACUUAGAAAUAAUGCAAUCCCAUCAACUUUGGUACACCUCUAGAUCAUAAAUACAUCAUCAUACUUAGUUUUGCAUCAAUAAACAUAAAUUCUUGCAUUCACUAUUUCAAGCCUACUGAUUCACCUUUCAUAUAACUAGCCCUUGAAUACAUAAUCUGCUUAAUCCAGAUUACACUAUCUAAACGUGACCCAAUCCUUGUUCGAAAAAUUUAAAACUUACCCAAGACAUGCUUCUUACAUCCUUGAACAUGAAUCGACUCAAAAACCAUCGUCUCAGAAUUUGGAAGGUCAACUUAAAACUCCUCGGAGUUAGAAGGUCUUAAAAAUGGCUAAGUCCUCAACACAUAGCUAAAUUUUCAGGCUUUUAUCCUCUUAUGCAAGCACUAGGAGCUAAACUGAACUAAGAAAAGUACGGGGUAUUAUAAUAGUUAAUCACGAUAAUUCCACUAGAGAGUAGUUCUCUAAUAGUAUUAUCUCUCAGUUUUAUAUGACGAGAUUUAUCAUUAUACAUUAUGUUCUCUGCCCUACAUAUUGCAGGACCCUAAUCCCGUGUUAUGACUAAUAGAGGGUGGGGGGAAAAGAUUAAAUUGUCCCUCUUGGAUGCGAAUUUUAAAAGCUGAAAAACUAGGCAUCGAUGCGAUUGGCGACGCGACGCGUCGAUGGCAUCGAUGCAAUACUGACGCGUCGCGCCCUAAUCAUGCCAAGCCUCAGUAGUUCCUGGAACAAAAUUGACCAACGCGAUGGGUGACGCGGCGCGCCAAGAUCGUAUUGGUCCACUAUUUUAGGACACCAAACAUGGUCUAAACAUGGAUCAAAAAUUUUGAAACUUAUUCGGGAACACCUAUUGACUUCCCUAAUCAUAAAUUAGCUAAAAUAUCAAUUAUCGAAGGCCGAGAAGGUUGGUAGUAAAAUCCUCAAAGUUUUGAGACUCUAGAAAUGACUAAGCUCCAACACCUAGCUAGAUUUUCUAAGUCUAGGAACUCUUUGGGCAUUAUUUAAGAGAUUUAGAUGAUGAGGAUUUUGUGGGGUCUUACAGCUGUAAAGGUAAUCUGAGCAAGAAACUGAAUGAACUCAAGGGAAACUGUUACCUUGAGUUGAGUCUGAGUUUGCAGAUAAGAGGUGAGGAUACUUUGUCCGCAUAUCUGCUUCUGUUUCCCACGUAGCUCCCUCAAUGGACUAAUUCCGCCAAAGAACUUUGACUAGAGGAACCUCUUUGUUCCUCAGUCUGUGAAUUCUGAUGAUCUAGGAUUUUUACUGGGAUCUCUUCAUAAGAGAGAGAUUGUUCUGAACAACUAUACUCCCCAUAGGGACUACAACUACUAAGUCACCUAUGCACUUCUUAAGCAAGGAGACAUAAAACACUGGAUGUACUGAAGCUAAAUCUAGAGGCAACUCAAGCUCGUAAGCAACCUUUUCAAAGUGACUAAGAAUUUGGUAGGGCCAAAAUUUUGGGGGCUGAGCAUCCCUUUCUUGCCAACCUCUUUACCCCCUUCAUGGGAGAGAUUUUCAAGAAUAUAAAAUUACUGAUCUCAACUCGAGAUCCUUUACUGAACACGCAUGAAUGGGAACAUGAGAACAUAACUGAGGCUGAAACGUGAUACAUGAACUGGAUAUCAUGAACUGAACUGAGACCCUGAAUACAUGGCGUACGGCUGGGAUUAGAACUUGAGGGUCAACUUAUGAGUACCCACUACUCCAAUCUAGAUUUGUUAUGUAAAGAGAAGAUGGAAGGUUUUGGUCAUGAAAGCUUGAGGGAUUAUAGUGCAUCCCCCUCUUGGGAUAAUACGUCCCCUGAAGGAUGUUGACUUGGUUGAGCUACUGAGGAAAGACUGGGAUGAUGCACAGGGCACCUACGAACUAAAUUGUAACUGCAUAUCGAGGAUCUGAAACUGAGGCAUGAUACAUGAACUGAGCUGAACUCGCAACUACAUGCUUGCUCUAUCUUAAAAUAGUUAUAUUCAUGAGAUUUCGGAUAGUCCGAUUAGAUAGAAAGAUGGGAAACCAAACCAUACGAACUUGUCCGCCUAACUGCUAAACUGGAUUGCUGGCUUUGUGACUAACUUAUGCUGGAAACUUGUACUCGACUGGAGCCUUUUUUUUUUACACCCUUUUUAUAGAGUUCUAAUGGAUUUAGAGAGCAAGAAAUGCCCCUGAAUAAAACAUCCAAAUAAGAAAUCACAUCCUAACUAAAAUUUUGUAGUGUGAGGCGAGGCCUACAAAACAUCAUAUAGGAUAGAGUGACAAAGCCCUAUGCACUGCAUUUACAAAUUUUCAAGCUUACACAUAUUCCUCGAAUACCCGCUCAACUAUAUUUGUAACACCCCAAAUUUGAUACCUGGAAUGCUACACGGUGCUCAUGACCCCGAAGGAUCACAAGCUAACCCAUGACUGAUAUCUGUACCUGUAUACUGCAUAAAAUACUUUAUAAUGCAAAAACAUGAACUGAAAGGCCAUAUGUUCAAAACUAAGACAUAGUAUCUAAUAAAAAAACAUCUGGGAGGGGUAUGAAAUACCCAAAACAACUGAAAUAAUCUAUCUGAAUAUACUAUAGUCUAGAAAGCCUCUAAAAUGUGACUGUCUGAAUAAGGAGUUGAUGGGACAUAUCCCUAACUAUCUCUAACUAAAAAACUAAUUACUGAAAUUAUAAAAUGAUGAUCAUGUCCUCAAAAUAUGAGGACUCACUGCUAACUCUGACAGUUGAGACUAGAAUCUACUGAUGCUCUGGAGCUCGUGUCUCUGAACCUAUGGUAUAAGACACCAUAGCGCAAAUGCAUCAGUACUUUGAAUAGACUGGUAUGCAUGUGAGGUAGGUUGAAUGCAUGGGGUUCAUAUGCAUGAACAAUAACAAUAGCAUACUAACUAUCAUGAGCAUGAGAAUACAUGCAUGAGACAUAAUAACUGACACUAAUACUGUGAUAGCAUGAUUACUGAAUCUGAAUAUUGAUAACAUAACAUACUGAUAACUGAUAUAAUUGAUAACAUAAGUGACUAUAUCUGAUAGUCCUGAAUCUAAUGAAACUAGAUGAGUCCCGUACUAUAUCUGAGUUGAUUGUAUUUGACAGUCUUGAAAUCUGAAAAACUAUCUAAGUUCUAUUACUGAGACUGAUUGACUAUGUCUGACAGUCCUGAUUCUGUAACAUAAAACUGUGGGAAGUAGUUAUCUAACUGACAUGCCCCUAAUAUGCCAUUAUGGCUGAGUUGGGGUUCAAUCUGUAACCCCAAUUGAAAGGGUGUCAAUACCGCAGCACUGGUAAGAACAAGCUGUGGGUGACCCUCAUCUGAUAGUGUCCCGAAAAGAGAAAGUGAGGCCCUUAUCUGACAGUGUUUAUCCACGUCAUCAACCCUCAUUGGACAGUGUUGAUGUCUCAACCUAUGCUGGCUACAUAGUUUUAGAAUGUAAGGAUGACUUCUAAGAAUUACACCCUCAUCUGAUAGUGUGUGUUCCCAUCCUUGGGUUUACUCAAUGCUAAUUCCUAUUCCCAUCUGAAUAGACUCUGGACAUGAUUUACUGAACUAAACAUGGGCUAAGUUACUGAAUUUCGUUAACUGAUGGAAUACUACUGAUAUCUGACAACUGACUAAGUUCAUGAGAUCAUGGAGAUUUCCUGAGUCAUAAGACUGUUUGAAGUCUAAGGAUUCAUAGCUUGACUGAGAGUAUCGUGAAAACAUGACAUGGCUCUAGGCACACAGCUAAUGUUUCGGGUACAAGUACCCCCAAGACUCGAUGNNNNNNNNNNNNNNNNNNNNNNNNNNNNNNNNNNNNNNNNNNNNNNNNNNNNNNNNNNNNNNNNNNNNNNNNNNNNNNNNNNNNNNNNNNNNNNNNNNNNNNNNNNNNNNNNNNNNNNNNNNNNNNNNNNNNNNNNNNNNNNNNNNNNNNNNNNNNNNNNNNNNNNNNNNNNNNNNNNNNNNNNNNNNNNNNNNNNNNNNNNNNNNNNNNNNNNNNNNNNNNNNNNNNNNNNNNNNNNNNNNNNNNNNNNNNNNNNNNNNNNNNNNNNNNNNNNNNNNNNNNNNNNNNNNNNNNNNNNNNNNNNNNNNNNNNAAUUUAACCCACAUAGAAUUUAUCACCCAACAUGGAGUAGAAUUCAAUUUCUCAUUAUCCACAUGAACAAGAGCAGCCCAGUCAUGAAAUUCAUAAGAAAAUCCAUAAACUUGAAUUUAGAAAUAGAAUUCUUGGGCUUCAUGGAUGAAAGGAGUCCAUGAAUGAACACUAUGCAUACCUUGGCUCGUAAAUACACAAAGAUUGACAAAGGAAAUUCUUGAUUCUAAAUCUUUUAUGAAAAACUAUAGGUUGUUCUUGAGAUGUUUUUGUGAGAAGAGAGUGUAUUUAGGGUGAAAAGUGGCUGAAUCACAUGUUAAAGGGCUUAAAUAGGGGUGGGAAAUUGACCCUUUUAACACUGGACGUGCCUUGUAAUUUCAGUAAAAAUUUCCUGAAUUGGACCCCUGGCCCAAUGCGGCGCUAUCACACUGUCACUGGAAUUUGACAAUUGGGAAACUGAGGGAUGGCGCGACACGGAGCCAUCACGUUGCCCCUUCUUUUGCGACCUGGAACUUUGGCACGACACAGAGAAAAUUGUGCUGAGACACUGAAAAAGGACAAUUGCCAUUUUAGCUUGUGGCACGGCACGCCAUUGACCAAUAUGGCGUUGUUUUACGACGGGAACUUGAAAUAGUCAUAACUUCUUACCUGGUUAUCAGAUUUAGGCAAAUUUUAUAUUGAUGGAAAGCUUAUUGAUUUUUUCAUAUGAAAAAAAGUGAAAAUAUUAAAAAUACCACGUGUACAAAAGUGGAUUCAUCUUUUAAAGAAAUCUUCUAAUAUUUUUUAGACGAUUUCAAGCUAGGAAAAAGUAUGGGGUAUUAUAAUAUCUCCCCCUUGAGAACAUUCGUCCUCGAAUGAAACUGAGAGUGAGGGGAAGAACAUAAACUGACAUACAUAAUGAACAUGAGUAACUGAAACAUGAUCUCAUGACUAACAUGACUGAUAACUGAAUAUAUCAUACUGGACAUGUAUACCUGAUGCAUGCGUAACUGAUUUAUGAAUGCAUGAUUAAGUGUUCUGAGGAACUAAAUUUCCCACAAUGAGAAUGCAUGUCUGAUGCAUAAUUAUAUAACUGAACUGAUACAUGAAUGCAUGACUGAAUAUGCAAUGGUACUUGAUACCAAGUUUGUGAUGAACACUGAACAUGAAACUAAGUAAGCUUAAGAAGGACUGUUCCCUUGAGCUCGAUCUGAGUUGGCGGACAAGAGGUGAGGAUACUUGGUACGCAUGUCUGCUUCUGCUUCCCAAGUAUCUCCCUCGAUAGACUGAUUUCGCCAAAGAACUUUAACUAGCGGUACUUCUUUGUUCCUCAGUCUAUGAGUCUGAUAGUCUAGGAUUUCGACUGAAAUCUUCUCAUAAGAGAGACUGUUCUAAACAUCAAUACUCUGAAUAGGGACUACAACUACUAGGUCACCUAUACACUUCUUGAGCAAACAGACAUAGAAGACUGGAUGAAUUGAGGCUAGAUAUAAAGGAAAUUCGAGCUCAUAAGCUACCUUGCCAACUCGACUGAGAAUCUUGAAGGGACCAACAUAUCGGGCACUGAGUUUCCCUUUCUUGCCAAAUUUCUUCGAAGGGAGAGAUCUUUAGAUAGACAUAGUCACCAAUCUCGAACUCGAGAUCUUUUCUAUGAACAUCUGCAUAAGACUUCUAUCGGCUCUGAGCAGCCCAGAGUCUUUCUCUAAUCAACUGGACUUUUUCUAAGGCAUCAAAUACUAAGUAAGGCCCUAUGAUUGAGGCCUCACUAACUUCGAACCAACUGAUCGGAGAUCUACAUCUCCUACCAUAAAGAGCUUCAAAUGGAGCCAUCCGAAUACUAGAAUAAUAGUUGUUGUAUGCAAACUCAAUCAAAGACACGUGGUCAUCCAAAAUACCCUUGAAAUCAAUUGCACACGCUCGUAGCAUAUCUUCUAAAGUUUGAAUGGUUCUUUCUGCUUGACCAUCUGUCUGAGGAUAAAAGGUUGUACUUAGAUGAACUUGGGUACCAAGACCCUUUUAGAAUGUUUUUCAGAAGUGAGAGGUGAACUCGAUACCUCUGUCUGAGAUAAUAGAUAAUGGAACGCGUGUAAUCUGACCAACUCGCUAAUGUAGAGUCUGGCGUAAUCCUCGGCUGAAUAAGAGGUAUGAACUAGAAGGAAAUGGGUUGAUUUGGUCAUCCUGUCUAUAAUGACCCAAACUGGCUGAUGACGAGUUCGAGGCAAACCCAUCACGAAGUCUAUGUUCACUUCUUCCCACUUCCAAGUAGGAAUAAUAAACUCCUGCAUAGGACCACUAGGCUUCUGAUGCAAUAUCUUAACCUGCUGACAUGUAGAAUACUUAGCCAUAAACUCUACAAUCUCUCUCUUCAUCCCACUCCACCAAUAGACUUCCUGCAAGUUGCAGUACAUCUUUGUGGCCCCUGGAUGAAUAGAGUAGUGUGCACCAUGCGCUUCUUCAAGAAUUCACUACCUUAAGUCAUCUACACCUAGAACAUAGAGACGACCCUGACAACGCAAAACACCAUCUCCCCCUUAAAAGAAAACCUCUACUUUCUGAUCCUGAACUGACUCUUUCAACUUGACAAGGAUGGGAUCUCUAUCUUGCUUUUCUUUCACCUCGGAAACUAGAGAUAAUUUUAAACUACUCUGAACCCAUAUAUCACCCUCAUCUGUACCGACUAAGCGAACGCCUAGUCUGGCAAGCUGAUGUACUUCCUGAGCUAACUUCUUCUUACUGACAUCCACAUGAGCAACACUACCCAUAGACAGUCUACUGAGAGUGUCGGCCACUACAUUGGCCUUGCCUGGAUGAUAGAGGACACUCAUGUCAUAAUCUUUCAAGAUCUCUAACCACCUUCUCUGAUAAAGAUUGAGAUCUUUAUGAGAAAAGACAUACUGAAUACUUAUGAUCUGUGAAGACAUCUACAUGAACUUCGUAGAGAUAAUGCCUCCAAAUCUUCAAGGCAAAGACUAUGGCUGCUAACUCAAGAUCAUGAGUAGGAUAAUUCUUCCCAUGGGGUUUAAGCUAUCUGGAGGCGUAGGCUAUGACCUUACCAUACUGCAUGAGGACACAACCUAUACCCACUCUGGAUGCGCACAAUACAUUACAAACCCAUCUGGACCAUCUGGAAGAGCUAAAACUGGAGCUGAGGUGAGUCGAGUCUUUAACUCCUGAAAACUCUUCUUGCAAGGAUCUGACUACUGAAACUUGAUUUUCUUCUAAGUCAAUCUGGACAUAGGGGAUGCAAUAGAAUAAAAUCCCUCAACAAACUGUCUGUAAUAGCCAGCCAAACCUAAGAAACUCCUGAUAUCUGAUGGAGAGACAGGUCUGGGCCAGUUUCUUACCGCUUCGGUCUUUUAAGAAUCUACUUUAAUUCCAUCACCCGAAAUGAUAUGACCAAGGAAUGCUAUUGACCUUAGCCAAAAUUCACACUUAUUGAAUUUGACGGAUAGCUGAUGAUCUCUGAUAGUCUAAAGUACUAUUCUGAGAUGGUCUGCAUGAUCUCGUACACUGCGGGAAUAGACCAGAAUAUCAUCUAUGAAGACUAUGAUAAACAUGUCCAAGUACUAUUUGAACAUGCGGUUCAUCAAGUCCAUGAAAGUUGCUGGGGCAUUAGUAAGACCAAAUGACAUGACUAGGAAUUUGAAGUGACUAUACUGAGUACAGAAAGCUAUUUUCAGAAUGCCACAUUCUCUGACUCUGAGCUGAUGAUAGUCGGAUCUGAGGUUUAUCUUAGAGAAAUAACUGGCAACCUGAAGUUGGUCAAACAAGUUAUUGAUUGUGGGAAGAGGAUACUUGUUCUUGACCGUGACCUUAUUAAGUUAACGGUAGUCUAUGCACUUUCUGAGAGAAUCAUUUUUCUUGUGCACGAAUAAUACUGGUGCGCCCCACGGGGAAAUGCUGGGCCUGAUGAAUCCCUUAUCUAGGAGAUCCUUCAACUGUUCUUUCAACUCUCUAAGUUCUGCUGGUGCCAUUCUAUAUGGAGGAAUAGAGAUAGGGUGAGUAUCUGGAAGAAGAUCAAUGCUGAAGUCUAUUUCCCUUUCGGGAGGAAUUCCUAGAAGAUCUUUGGGAAAGGCAUCUGACUAUUCAUUCACAACUGAAACGGAUUCAAGAUUGGGAAUUUUGGAACUAGAAUCCUUAACAUGAACAAGACGAUAAACACAUCCCUUAGAUAUCAUUUUCCUUGCCCGUAGGUAGUAAACAAGUUGACCCCUGAGAGUGGAUACACUACCCUUCCACUCAAGGACAAGUUUAUUUGGGAACUAAAAAUAGACUAUCCUAUUUCUCCAGUUGGCUAUGGCAUAGCAAGAAUAAAGACAAUCCAUGCCGAGAAUAACAUCAAAAUCAGUUAUCUCUAAUUCGACUAGAUUUGCUGAAGUGACUUUCUGAAAUAUCAUAACUGGGCAAUUCCUAUAUGCCCGCUAGGCUAUGAUGGUUUUACCCAUUGGGGUAGAGACUGAAAAGGGCUCGCUAGAAUUUUAGGACUGACUCCGAAAUCAACUAUUAUAUAGGGAGUAACAAAAGACAAGAAAGCACCUGGAUCUAGCAAAGUGUAAAAAUGAACAUGAAAGAUAUGUAACGUACCAGUAACCACAUCAGGGGAAAAUUUCCUGAUCUUACCGGGACUUGAGAGCAUAGAGUUUGUUUGGGCGUUGCCCACAAGUAGCACUGGAGGUGGCACCCUGCUGAUUUGGGCGACCGGACUAAGCUGAGGAGCAGAGAUGACUCUGAUAACCAGUCUGAGGGCAGUCUCUGACUCUUGGGCCUGGCUUUCCAUAACCAAAACAGACAUCGCUGUCAGCUCUGCACACACCCUUGUGGUUCUUACCAUAAGUCUGACCAAAGGGAUUAGUUCGGGCACUGCUAACACUGCCUUGAGACUUAGAUCCUGGCACUCUAUCUUUGUUACCCUCUUUGAACUUAGGAACUGGAGCACUGGCUGACGAAGGAGCUGGAACUGAUGACUUAGGAUGAAUCUAAGAGCGAUUGCCUCCCUCUGACUUAGGCUAACUAAAAUUAAAGCUACCUGUGCUAGCUCUCUUAUUCUGCUUCUCCCUCUGCUUAAUCUUCUGCUCCUCUAUCUGCUAAGCAUGAGUCAUGAUCCUAGCUAAUUCUAACACCUUAGCUUCUCUAAGCUCUAGGGGAAAGAAUCUAUCAAGGAAAGCAGAAGCGAACUCCUCCCACUCAACAGGCCCUGCAUCAUCUGGCCUUUCUGACUUCCACUGUUUAAACCAAACGUGAGCAACAUCCUGCAACUGAUAUGUAGUUAGCUCAACACUCUCACCAGAAGCAACCCCCAUUAUGUCUGUAACCUUCUACACCUGAUCUAGGAAUUCCUGAGGUUCCUCAUCUGUCUUAGACCCAAGAAAGGUUGGAGGAUUCAUUUGGGUGAAAUCCCGAAUCCUGGAUGCAAUUGGCCAUUAGAUUGGGCAAAACGACAGCUGGUUAUUUAUUCUGAGCAAAAACUGAGUUAGCAAGAGUAGUAAAUGCAGCUCGGAACUCUGCAUAAGAAACAUGUUCACUCAAAGGUUCUUCGGGCUGAGGGGCUGACUGAUUCCUAUUUCUUCUUUUAGGAGGCAUGUUCUGUAGAAGAAAGGGAGAAAUGGAUUACACUGAGAUAUGGACUUGAGAUUAUGCUUACUGGCAUGACAUAACUACUGAAAGAGGGAAAACUGUUCCUAAAACAUCUUAUAUCCUUUUGUACUUAAAUGUGGCGUACAACACACUCAUGUACAAAACUCUACUAGAUGCGGUUUUCAGACAUCCUAGUACUCUAUUGAACCUUAGGCUCUGAUACCAAGUUUGUAACGCCCCAAAUCUAAUACCCAGAAUGCUACACAGUAAUCAUGACCCCGAAGGACCACAAGCUAACCCAUGAUUGAUAUUUGUACCUGUAUACUACAUAAAAUACUUUAUAAUGCAGAAACAUGAAUUGAAAGGCCAUAAGGUUCAAAACUGACACAUAUUAUCUGAUAAAAACAUUUGGGAGGGGUAUGAAAUACCCAAAACAACUAAAAUAAGUUGUCUGAACAUACUGUAGUUUGGAAAGCCUCUAAAACAUGACUGUCUGAAUAAGGAGUUGAUGGGAUAUAUCCCCAACUAGGAAUAUAUCCCCAACUAACUCCAACUAAUAAACUAAUUACUAAGAUAAUAAAAUGAUGAUCAUGUCCUCAAAAGAUGAGGACUCACUGCUAACUCUAACAGCUGAUACUGGAAUCUACUGAUACUCUAGAGCUCAUGUCUCUGAACCUAUGGUAUAAGACACCAUAGCGCAAAUGCGUCAAUACUUUGAAUGUACUGAUAUGCAUGUGAGGUAGGCCGAAUGCAUGGGUUCAUAUGCAAGAAAAAUAACAAUAGAAGACUGACUAUCAUGAGCGUGAGAAUACAUGCAUGAGACAUAAUAACGGACACUGAUACUGUGAUAACAUGAUUACUAAAUCUAAAUACUAAUAACAUGACGUACUAAUAACUGAUAUAACUGAUAACAUGAGUGACUGUAUCUGACAGUCAUGAAUCUAAUGGAACUAGCUGAGUCCCAUAUUGUAUCUGAGUAGACUGUAUCUGACAGUUCUGAAAUCUGAAGAACUAUUUGAGUUCUAUUACUGAGACUGAUUGACUAUGUCUGACAGUCCUGAUUCUGUAACAUGAAAUGUGGGAAGUAGUUAUCUAACCGACAUGCCCCUAAUAUGCCAUUAUAGCUGAGUUGGGGUCUAAUCUGUAACCCUAAUUGGACGGGUGUCAAUACCGCGGCACUGGUAAGGAUAAGCUGUGGGUGACCCUCAUCUGAUAGUGUCCCCAAAAGAGAACAGUAAGGGCCUUAUCUGACAGUGCUUAUCCACCUCAUCAACCCUCAUCGGACAGUGUUGAUGUCUCAACCUAUGCUGGCUACAUAGUUUUGAAAUGCAAGAAUGACUUCUAAGAAUCACACCCUUAUCUGAUAGUGUGUGUACCCAUUCUUGGGUUCACUCGGUGCUAAUUUCUACUCCCAUCUGAAUAGACUCUAGACAUGAUUUACUGAACUGAACAUGGGCUGAGUUACUGAAUUCCGUUGACUAACGGAAUACUAUUGAUAUCUGACAAUUGACUGAGUUCAUGAGAUCAUGAAGAUUUCUUGAGUCAUAAGAAUGUCUGAAGUCUAAGGAUUCAUAUCUUGACUGAGAGUAUCAUGAAAACAUGACAUGGCUCUAGGCACACAGCUAAUGUUUUGAGUACGAGUACCCCCAAGACUCAAUGAAAGGAAACUGACCAAGCAUAACUUACUUGAACAUAUAACUAACAUCAUAAUCCAUAAUACAUUUAUAGAAGCAUUUCAUCAAAACAUGUGAUAGGCAUAACUUGUACAUACAUGGGGAUUUCAUGGUAUCAUGCUAGUUAGGCACUUUUCCUUCACCUAGGCAUUUAAUCAACCAUAUUGUAGGCAUGGUACAUGUAAACAUCAUUGUACAAUAAUUAAACAUCAUGGUUCAAUUCUAAUUUCAUCAUUCAAGGGUUUAGUCAUAGGUUUGCAUGAAUCUAUAUCUAUAAUAAUUUAACCCACAAAGAAUUUAUCACCCAACAUAGAGUAGAAUUCAAUUUCUUAUUAUCCACAUGAACAAGAGCAGCUCAAUCAUGAAAUUCAUAAGAAAAUCCAUAAACUUGAAUUUAGAAAUGGAAUUCUUGGGCUUCAUGGAUGAAAGGAGUCCAUGAAUGAACACUAUGCAUACCUUGGCUUGUAAAUACACAAAGAUUGAUGGAGGAAAUUCUUGAUUUUGAAUCUUCUAUGAAAAGUCCUAGGUAGUUCUUGAGAUAUUUUUUAGAGAAGAGAGUGUAUUUAGGGUGAAAAGUGGUUGAAUCACGUGUUAAAGGGCUUAAAUAGGGGUGGGAAAUUGACCUUUUACCCUGGACGUGUCUUGUAAUUUUAGUAAAAAUUUCCCGAAUUGGACCCUUGGCGCGACACGGCACUAUCGUGCCGUGUCUUUGGAAUUUGACAAUUGGGAAACUGAGGGAUGGCGCGAUGCGGAGCCAUCGUAUUACCCCUUCUUUUGCGACCUAGAACUUUGGCGCGACACGGAGGAAAUCGCGCUGAGACACUGGAAAGGGACAAUUGUCAUUUUAGCUUAUGGCGCGGCGCGCCACUGACCAAUAUGGUGUUGUUUUAUGACGUGGGCUUGAAAUAGUCAUAACUUUUUACUUGGUUAUCAGAUUUAGGCGAAUUUUAUAUCGAUGGAAAGCUUAUUAAAUUUUUCACAUGACAAAAAGUGAAAAUCUUAAAAAUGCCACAUGUACUAAAGUGGAUUCAUCUUUCAAAUAAAGCUCCUAACAUUUUUUACAUGAUUUAAGCUAGGAAAAGGUACGGGGUAUUACAAUAUUCUCCACCUUGUACGGCACUUCACUUGAGACUACUGAAAAUAUUCACAUGGGCGUUGAGCACAAAUGCAUAAACAUACUAACUUAUCUGAUUAACUGAAUGGUUGAUAGCUGAAUACUGGUCAUGUAAUAUUGAAUUGUACUUAGUCUGGACUGAAACUGUAGAGUUUAUGCCUAUGAGGUAAGGAAGGACUGACUGAGUUACAUGAGAUAACUGAGCAUGAAUUUGUGAAAACUGCAUUAUUUGAGAAUGCAAGACCAAGCGUAUAGCAUUAUUCUGAAAGUCUAUAAAUUGAGGUACUAAAAUACUGAUAACUGAAUAACUAAUAACUAUACGCUAUGGUUAAGCAAACUUGAAACUGAACUAAGUUACUGAUCUGAUUACUAGAUUGGGACUGGGACUGGGACUGAGACUGUAACUGAGACUUUAAUUGAGACUCAUACUGGAACUGAAUGCUGGGUUCUAAUAAUAAUGUGAUGGAUACUAACAUAAAUCAAGGAUAUGAAUAUACACUCACACUCAGCAUUUUCUCAACUUCUCAUCUCAUGAAAAUUCUGAUUUCCCUUCCUUCAACAACUACAUACAACUUCUUGCUAGCCAUUUACUUAGCACACUAACCUAACAUUCAGGCCUAUUUUUAUAACGACAGCCUUUUGUAAAACAAGUAUGCAAAAAUUUUUCCUUAUCAUGAACCAUUUACUCUCUCCCAUCUAAGCAAUCAUUCAUCACUACAUUAUAUCAUAAAGAGAUUUCACUAAAAGGGUUAAAAAUGAGGUCCUGAAGUGUGAAUGAAUAUUAUGCCAAACUCGACACUUAACUAAAGCCUAAGGAAUAGAAUAUCAACACCAUGGAUUUAUCAAGAGAUCUAAACUGAGGAUAUACAUGACAUAAUCUGAAUUUAGCUGACCGUUUGGAGUGUAGCAUGAGUCAUGGGAACUGGGCAUACUGUAAAGCAUGACAUGAGUACACGAGUCAUGAGCUGCAUGACCUCAGUCUAGAGUUUCUGUAUUAAUGAAACAUGAUUCGCAAUACUGAGUGAACUGAAACUCCUUAUACUAGGAACUGUAUGCGUAUAUAAUUUUUGCUAACAUGCAUAAAUAUGAGUUAUUAACAUAGAGCUGACAUAUAAGACAUGAAUAGAGAAGAUACCAUGAUAACUGAUGGGUUUUGAGAGUCUGAAGUACGAUUUUGAGAUGAUCUACGGGUUCAUCCUCAUUACGGGAAUAGAUAAGAGUGUCAUCUAUGAAUACUAUGAUGAACCUGUCCAAGUACUACUUGAACAAGAAAUUCAUCAAGUUUAUGAAAGCUGCUGGAGCAUUGGUAAGACCAAAUAACAUGACUAGGAAUUCGAAGUGACCAUACCGAGUUCUGAAAGUUUUCAAAAUAUCACAUUCUCUGACUCUGAACUGAUGAUAGCCUGAUCUGAGGUCUAUCUUAGAAAAGUAGCUGGCACCCUGAAGUUGGUCAAACAAGUCAUCGAUUCUGGGAAGUGGAUACUUGUUCUUGACUGUUACUUUAUUUAACUGACGGUAGUCUAUACAUUCUAAGAGAACCGUCUUCUUACGCAUGAAUAGAAUUGGUGGACCCCAAGGAGAUACGCUGGGUCUGAUAGAUCCCUUAUCUAGGAGAUCUUUUAACUAUUCUUUUAACUAUUUGAGUUCAACUGGGGCCAUUCUAUAUGGUGGAAUAGAGAUAAGUUGAGCAUCUAGAAGAGGGUCUAUUCCAAAGUCAAUUUCCCUCUCGGAGGGACUCCUGGAAGAUCUUCGGGAAACACAUCUGGGAAUUCACAUGCUACUGGAACUGACUCAAGGUUAGGGGUCUCUGAACUAGAGUCUUUAACUCGAAUGAGAUGAUAAACUUACCCCUUAGAUAUCAUUUUCCUCACCCUAAGGUAGGAAACAAACUGAACCCUAAGUUAAGCACUGAAGUACUACCCCUUCACUCAAGGACAAGUUCAUUCAGAAACUAAAAAUGGACAACUCUGUUUCUGCAGUCAACUGAAGCAUAGCAUGAAUGAAGUCAAUUCAUGCCGAUAAUGACAUCAAAAUAUGUCAUCUCUAGUUCUACUAAGUCUACUGAAAUGACUUUUUGAGAUACCAUAACUGGACAAUUGUUGUAUACCCAUCGGGCUAUGAUAGAUUUACCCACUGGAGUAGAGACUGGAGUAGAGACUGAGAAGGGCUCUGCUAGGAUUUUGGGACUGACUCCAAAGUCAAUAGCUAUAUAAGGAGUUACAAAGGACAAAGAAGCUCUUGGAUCUAGAAAAGCAUAAACGUGCAAAUAGUAGACUUGUAACAUACCAGUGACCACAUCAGGAGAACUUUUCUGAUCCUAUCGGGACUGAAAUACAUAAAGCCUGUUUGUGUGUUGCCCCCUGGUGGCACUGGAAGUGACACCUUGCUAAUUUGGGUGACUAGACUGAGCUGAGGGACGAAUAUGCUGACUCCGCGAGCCUGGCUGAGGACAAUCUAUGAUUCUAUUGCCUGGAUUUCCACAUCCAAAACACAACCCACUACCAGCCCUACAUAUGCCCUGAUGGUUUCUGCCAUAUUUCUGUCAAGGAGGAUUUGUUUGGCCACUCUUUGGCCUUGGCGUUCUGGUCCUCUUAUUCUUUCUCCCUCUUUUUCUACAUCCGUUCUCUUCAUUCUGCAAAGCUUGAGUCAUAAGCCUAAAUAAGAUAGUAGCCAACUGAUUGUUCUAGGCUACGAUUGAAUAAGCUAAGGCAGUGAAAGAAGUCCUGAGUUCAGAGUGAGACACAUGCUCAUUCAGGGGAUCUGCCUGAACGGGUGAAGGUGCUAGCUGGUUUCCAGUUCUUCUUCUGUUAGUCUUUUUGGGAGACAUAUUCUAUAAACGGAGGGAAGAAAAGGAUUAGAUUGAGAGUUUAACUUGAGCUCAUGCUCACUCGCAGAUAUGAAUACUGAAAUAAGGAAAACUUAUCCUAAAAAUGCCAUAUAGCCCCUUGUCCAUAAGUGUGGCACGCUACACACCUAUGCACAUGACUCUACUAAACGCGGCUUUCAGACUCCCUAGGACUCUGUUGAACCUUAGGCUCUGAUACUAAGUUUGGAACGCCCAGAGUCUGUACCCUGGACACUACAUGGUGCUCACGACCCCAAAGAACCACAAGCUAACCCAUGACUGAUAUCUGCUGUGAGCACUAAAUAAUAAUACUGUAAUAAAUUCGGAAAAUAGGCUGAAAUGCCAUAAGGUUCAAAUUUUGAAAUAUUGGUAAAUAAUAACAUUUGAUAAAUAUCUAAAAUCUGAAUACUGUCUGAACUAGUCUAGUCUGAAAACCUCUAACUGAACUAUCUGAAUGUGAAGUUGGGGGCUAAUGCUAUCUGAACUAGUCUAGUCUGAAAACCUUUAACUGAACUGUCUAAAUGUGGAGUUGAGGGACUAGCCCCCAACUAACUCCGACUACUGAACUACUCAUAAGCUAAUAACUGAAAUAAAAGCAUGCCCUUGAUAGAUAAGGACUCACUAAUGAUACUAUUGCUGGUAACUAAAUUUGUCUAUGCGCGGUCAGUAACCUGAGCGGCCGAACCUAUAAUAUGAGACAUCAUAGCGUAAAGAAAGAGUAUACGUUAGUAUGUGGAAUGUACUCAUAUGCUAGAUGAGGUAGGCUGAUAUGCAUGGGUUCAUAUACAUGAAUAAAUAACUAACUGGGUAACAUGACUACAACUAAAUGAGAGUACAUGUAUAACUGAAACUGAUGAAACACUGAUUAUGCAAUACUGUAUGCAUAUCUACAUAUACUGUAUCUGAGAUCAUAGUAACACUGGAUACUGAGUUCUGAUAACUGAAUGACUGAUAUCUGAGUUACUGAUAACUGUAUUACUGAUAGUUGGGUAACUAUUUCUGACAGUCCUGAUUCUGUAGAACUGAUCUAAGUUCUAUACUGAGCUGGGUGACUGUGUUUGACAGUCCCGAUUCUGUAGAACUAAACUGAGUUCCAUACUGAGACUGAAACUGAAAUAGUGAAAGGUAAUCAUUUAACCGACAUGCCCCUCUCUGAGCUAAUUGAGGUCCAACCUAUUACCCCAGCUCGAAGGAUGUCAGUACCGUGCUACGGGUAAAGACAAACUAAGGAGUCACCCUCAAUCUGGCAGGUGCUCUAAAUGAGAACGGUGGCAGGUAAAACACCUCAUCAACCCUCAACCUAGUAGGUUGAUGUCUCAACCUAUGCUGGAUACGUAGUUCUAGAACACAAGGACUGCUUCUUAGGAUCACACCCUCACCCUCUACUGGCAGGUGAGUCCCCAUCCUUGGGUUCACUCGGUGCUGAAUCCUACUCCCAACUAAAUAGACACCAAACUAAUUUCUAAAUUGUACUAGGCUGGACUGAACUGUGAUUGAUCGUGUUCACUGACUGAACUGGACUGAGUUCACUGAGUUCUGGUGUCUGAAUAAAUACACUGAGUUCUGUACUGACUAAAUACUACUGAUUAUGAUGUUUCUAAGACUAUCCUGUAACUACUGUAGCUCUAGGUCAACAGCUAAAUUUUUGGGUAUUAAAUACUCCUAGGACUCGAUAGCAUAAAAAGUAAAGCAUAGCAUGAUCUUGAAAAGCAUUACAAUGUUCAUAACUUAUUCAUAGAGAUAUUUUAUCAAACAAUUGCAAGAUAUAAGCCUGUACAUAUGCUAGCAUAUCAUGAUUCCCCCAUUUAAUCCACAUGAGCAAUUUUUCAAACACUUGGGGAGCAUAAUCUAUGCACAUAAUACUAAUCAACAUGUAGGCAUCAUGAUUUUCAAUUCCAACUAACAAAUUCAAGGUCUUUAACAUGAAUUCACAUAAUACUACACACAUGUCAAAUAAAUUUACAUAAAUUUUGUAAUAAAUCAUGAAUUAGAAACCCAAUUAACAUCAUAAUCAUGAAUACAUUGAAACCCAACAUGGAAUUCAUGAAAUCAACAAAGUUAAAGUUUUAAAAGAGGUUCUUGAACUCCAAAGGUGGAAGGAAACCCUUGGAUGAACACCUAACAUACCUUGAUGCUUGAAUUCGUGAAAAUUAAUGGUGCGACCUUGAAUCUUGAAUUUGAAAUUAGAUCCCCUAGGGUUUGUUCUUGAGAGAAUUUUAGAGAGAAUGACUGAAUUUUUCCUUUUGGAUGACUUAAUUAUGUGUUUUUGGGGAUGAUAUGAGGUGGGAAAAUGACCCAAUUACCCCUCUGGACACAGAUUUUUAAUGAUUGAAAACGUGCCCAGUGACGCUCAUAUCGACGCGUCGCGUCGAUGGCAUUGAUGCGAUGGCCAACGCGCCGCAUCGAGUUCACGUUGGUUUACUGGAAUUGUACUAAAAGCUGGGGGAAAUUAUCCAUCGAUGCGAUGGGUGACACGACGUGUCUAGAUCGCAUCAGCCCACUAUUUUGGUCACCUGAACAUAGUUCAAACGUGGUCUAAAAAAUCAAAAACUCACCCGAAGUGACCUACUAACAUUACUGAUCAUGAAUCAACCUAAAAUCGAUAUUUUAAGCUCAUAAGGGUCUGAAAUAGGACCGCCAACUUACGAAGGCUAAAAUACUUCUAAGUAUAAGCACUUAGCUGAAACUUCUAAGUCUGAGACCUCUUUUCAAGAUUUAACGGACUGAGUUAAGCUAAUAAUUUUGUGGGGUUUUAUGAAAUCAAACCAAUAACUCAAUAAUUCCUUUUAUAAAACCAUUAACCCAAUAACCCAACAACACUAAACCAAUAACAUUUUCAUCGGUUAGGUUUACUGUUCGGUUCAGUUUUUGCACACCCUUAGUAUUGUUGACUCAUUGGGUAUUUGAUUGUGUGAUAUGUAUUUGAAAAAGUGAAACUUUGUACUUACUUAUAUGUUGGUUGACUUGCUUUAUUUAUACGUGUUUUAAUCAUAGCUUACCAUAAUGGCUAGUUAUCAUUCUUUAAUAUUACAAGAGCAUUUGAUUGUUUGUCCGAGAGUUUGGUAUGGGUUUUCUAUGAUUACGGGUUUGUUCCUGUGAAUAUGAGUAAAGAAAAAGAUAAGGUGAAUAAAAAGGAAUAGUGAUGUAUUAGCAUUGGAUUGUGGUUGACUGUGUGAAUUAACGAGGCUAAAGUAUGUUAGUAGUGAAUAUAAUAUUGAUGGAGUUGGAAGAGUAGUUGGAUGAUGUAAGUUAUAUAGGUAAAGUAAUAAUGUUAUUACAACCUUAGUUGAAUUAUAUUCCAUUCAAGAUGUUAUGAUUUAUUUUCCUUAAUUCUAUUUUAUGAUUAUAUGAACUAACACGGUCGGUCGAUGAUGCCUACCAGUAUGUGUGGUUGUAUUGACCCUACUCUUCUACAUUCCUUCUUGGAGUGUAGACUGGAUGCAGGUUAGUUUGCAGUUACUAGAUAAAGGAUUAUUCAGCACUAACUUCUGCACUUUCUUCCCAGCAGAUGUUAGAGUUUUUAUAUUAUUUAUUUUAUUAUCAGACUAUGCUGUUGUAGAUAGCUCUUGUACAUGUCUGACUAGGAAACUUGUAAGAAGUUUUUGAAAAAAUUAAUUUAUUAAUAUUAAUUUAUCUUAUUAUAUUUAAUUUAGUAUUCCCUUAAAACAAAAGUCUUCUGCAUAUUUUUAGUUGGGUAAUAAGGGUUCUCCUAGCUACUUAGAAUAGCGUAGGUGCCCGCAGUUUGGGCCGUGAUAGGGUUGUGUGUUGGCCUCGCAUUUACCAGACCAUCAAGGGAGCUACUACAUCACCAUUUGUUGUCCCCGCACCGCACAGACUAGGCCACGUGAUAGGCCUGUGCCGCACGAGGAUGGACCAUGCGAUGGGGUGUGUGUCGCACCUUCCCCCUCCCUGUGUUACUUAACGAGAUUGCUUUAUAUGUUUUAUUUUUAAGGAGUGGACACAAAUUGGCUAACCACACUUAUUGCAAAAUCAAUAUUUGGAUGAGUCAUGGUGAGACAGUUUAGUUUUCCAAGUAACCUCCUAUAUCUUAAAAGAUUGAUAAAGGGAUCACCAUCUUUCACAAAAUGCACAUUGGGAACCAUUGGAGUACUGUAAGGCUUAGCUUUUAGCUUUCUCAUUCUGCAAGUCGGUUGAUGACAUACUUUCUCUAAGACAAAAAUUCCUUUCUUGCUCCUAGAGACUUCUACUCCCGAAAAAUAUUUCAACUGUCCCAAGUCUUUUGUAUGAAACUUAUUCUGCAAGAAAAAUCGAGUAAGGAGAUCCCCGCAGAAUCACUUCCAAUAAUGAUAAUGUCAUCAACAUAUACAACAAGAAGUAUGAUACCAAUUGUUGAUUUCCUAUAGAACACUGAAUGGUCACAUUUGCUCUUCUUUACCCCAAAUUCAUGAGCGACCUCAUUAAAUUUGCCAAACCAAGUCUGGGGACUUCAAGUCAUAUAAUGAUUUCUUUAAAUGGCAGCCUUCCCCAUAUUCCUCAUGAGAAAUAAAAUAAGGUGGUUUCUCCAUAUAUAACUCUUCUUGGAGAUCACCAUGAAGGAAUGCAUUUUUAAUAUUCAACUAAUGCAAAGACCACUUCAUAGAAGUAGCUAGAGAAAUGAACAAACGGAUAAAACUAAGUUUGGCAACCAGGGAGAAUAUGUCUGAAUAAUCCACUCCAUGAGUAUGAGAAUAUCCUUUGGCCAUAUGUCUAGCACUUAGUCUCGCCACAGAACCAUCUGGGUUGACUUUGACCGUGAAGAUCCACUUGCAUCACAUUACUUUCUUUCCACUAGGUAAAUACACUAAAUCCCAAGUGUAAUUUUCUUCCAAGGUAUGUAUUUCCUCAAGCAUUGUUUAGACCAGCCUGGAUGAUUCAGUCUCUUUCACUGUUUUGGGUACAAAAAUAUAGUCUAGAUAUGUAACCAAAGAUCAAGAUCCAUGAGAUAAUAGAUCAUAUGAAACAAAAUUAGCAACAGAAUAUGUGAACCUACAAGUAUGCGAACCUUUACAAAGAGCAAUAGGAAGGUCAAGAUCUUUUGAAGGAUCAAAUGGAGAAGGAUCUGAUUAUGGAAGAACUAAUGUAGAACAUGUAUCAUUAGCCAAUUGCCUUAUCGAGUAAACUUAAACAAUUGAUGGUUUUUCUGGAAUAGGUACAAAAGGCACAAUAGAAAAUCGGUGCUUAAUAGAAGAACUAAAAUAUGGAAGAACAUCAUCUGAUAGUUUUGUCACAUCACGAGUAACUUGAUAGGCUAACCAUUCCUCUUCCUCCUGCUAACUUGUAGAAGUGGGAGAUACAUAGAAGAAUGAUGUAAUCUCUGAAAGUGUCACAUUAACCGAUACCAAAUAUUUGUCAAGUUUAGUAGAAUAACAUUGAUACCCCUUCUGAAGACGAGAAUAGCCCAAGAAAACACAUUUCAAUGCCUUGGGGUCCAACUUGGUAACCAUCGAUCAAAAAUCUCUGACAUAACAGGUGCUUCUAAACACCUUUGGUUCUACUGGAAAUAAUGACUUAUUAACACGGUAAGGCAUAUUACUAACAAGCACACUAGAUGGCAUGUGAUUAAUCAAAAAACAGGUGGUAGAGACUGCAUAGGUCAAAAAUUAUUUAGGAACCUUUAUUUGGAACAGAAGUGCCCGAGUGGUCUCAAGUAGAUGCUUAUUCUUCCUUUCAACAGCUCUAUUUUGAGAAGGUGUAUCAAUACGUGAAUAAUGGUGGAGGAUAAGGUGUUAUCCCAUGUAGGACUGAAAUAAUUCUGACAUGUAUUUUUAGCAUAUCACUCCUCAAAAUACGCAUGAAAGCAUUGAAUUGAGUUUUUAUUUCAGCAUAAAAUGUACAAAAUUGAGUAAACACUUCAGAGCGACUCUUCAUAAAAUAAAUCCAAGUCAUUUGGGAGAAAUCAUCCAUAAAAGUGAUAAAAUACAUGUCUGAUUUUGGAAACAACAGGAUAUGGCGCCCAAACUUGAAAAUGAACUAACCCACAAGCUGACUCCUCGAUUAUUUACCCUUGGACUUAACGAACUGAGAUGGUGUUUUAUAAAUCGACAUGACUCACAAUCCAAUGAAGAAAUAUUUUGAAACUUAGGAUGGAGCUUCUUCAACAAAGGUAGAUAAAGAUGUCCAAUCGAUAAUAUACCUCAAAUGGGAACACGACACUAGAGUAGACAAUAGACCUAAGAUCCAGGUCAUCAAGUAUGUAUAGAUCACCAGAUACAUGUCCCUCACUAAUAACUUGAUAUAUCACAAGAUGAAAAAAUAGACAAUGAUCCCAAAAAAAUAAGAUAUAGCAAUUAAGCUAUCUAGUAAUUUUAUUGACGAACAUCAAACUAAAGGCCAGCUGAAGUUGGUUUUAUUGUCCCAAAUCCAACACUAGUAGAAGUUGACCCAUAACCAGAGAAGGUGUUUUAUGUGGUGUAAAGGUAGAGAAAAUGUUAGGAUUACCUGUCAUGUGAUUUGUAGCACCCGAACCAAUCGCCUAUUUAUUAGAAGAGAUGAUAAGACAUGUUUUAUCAGAUUCAACAAAAAAAUUAUGCCAGAGUGGAUUCCUUCAGUAAGUUCUAAUGUGGAGAAAAUUUUAAAAAUUCCUCGGCCAAGAGCAACAUCAUUUUUUCAAAAGAUGGACUAUGAACAAAAGCAAUACAAGCCAAAGUGUUCAUUCAUCCUUCUACAUAGCCAUUCAUUUUCAAACAAGUUCACAGGAGCGUAAUACAGAGGUUAACCAAAUAUAUAUUUGAAAAGAUCAUGGAUACAAAUUAUCAUCCCACCAACAAACAAGGUGAGACUAGCAAAUGUUAUGCAUAGAAACUUUCAACAAAGGUAUAAAGCACCAAACUGUCACCAAACAAUACUGGAUUGAUUAAAAAACCAAAAAUCAGAGAUACAAAUCUGAUUCCAGAAAUUAGCUACAGAGAAACCAAGAAAAUUAACAGUACUAUCAAAUAUCAGAAAAAAAUCUAAUCCAAAACCAAGGACAAAUGAAAUUAGAAUGAUUUUGUUGUUGCCUACAGUAUUUUGAUGAUCAAAGAAUCACUAGAGAUGUGUUUAAAGCUAUUUGGAAAUGUCUGAACCGAAAAAUCAAAACAAUGAGACCUCUCACGCACCCACACAAGCUGCUAGAAAAUCCUCAAUGAAAAAUCUGGAGAGACGGUGAAACAAUUCCAAUGAGACAGUGAACUAAUUCCAACAAUGCCACACAUGCUCUGAUACCAUAUUAUUGAGCAAGGUUUCGAAGUAAUUUUCAUAUGUUUUAUUCCAUUAUAGGGUAGAUUCAUAUACAUCUAUAGCUAUGCUAAUUAAAGAAAUAAUCAAAAAGGAAAUUUUAUCAAUCCCUGAAGAUUGUAACACCUCGUGAAAUUCCCGACUCCUUAGAGCUUUUAAAGCAUACCAAGAAAGGCUUAACACUUAGAAAAUUUGGCUAAGUGUUGAAACUUUUCCAUUCCAUAAGCCUUUGAAACUUUGACAAAUUAUUUUGUGACCUUCCCAACCUCCAAUUCUUAAUUUUCUUGUUGCAUUGCGAUGGGGCAAGUCAAGAGUACAUCCCGGGUAAGUUUCAGAAUUUUUAGAUGAGCCUAAGGUCUUGUUUGGGUUGGAAAAACAGUAGCUAAAGGAUGCAGAGGGGCGCUUCCCAGCUUAGAGCCUUCGCUCCCUUCCUCAAUAGCAAGGCGNNN